CCUCUAAAAUAUUGAAGGUGAAACCUGCCCAAUGAUAUAAAAACAAUUAUAAUCUAAUUAAAACAAUAUUAAAUGGAUGCAGUAACUCUGACUGUAAUAAAGUAGCAUAAUUAGUUGUCAUUUAAUUGAUGGAGAGAAUGAAUGGUUACACGAAUAUUUCACUGUCUUAAAAAAAAUUUUUUAAAAUUGAAAUAAUAGUUAAGAUGCUAUUUAAAAUUGUAAGACGAAGAGACCCUAUAGAGCUUUACUAUAAACUUUUUUUUCAAAAAAUAAUAAAAAAUUAUUAGAAUUAGAAAGUUUGGUAGUUUAGUUGGGGCGACUGUUUUUUAAAAAUAACAAAAAUAAGCAAUAUAAUAAAUUUAUUUAUUGUAUAAUUAAAAAAUUUAACAAUUACUAUAGUAGGCUAUAAUGACCCGUUAUUAUGAUAAACAACAAAUAACGAUUAAUUAAUAAAAGCUACCUUAGGGAUAACAGGAUAAUUUUGUUUUAGAGUCCUUAUCAAAAACAAAGUUUGUCACCUCUAUGUUGAAUUAAGAUAUCCUAAUAAUGCAGUAGUUAUUGAAGGUAGGUCUGUUCGACUUUUAAAAU
RNAcentral lists this ribosomal RNA (588 nucleotides) under Hydra vulgaris (swiftwater hydra). RNAcentral's name for it is "partial 16S ribosomal RNA". It matches the Rfam family "Bacterial large subunit ribosomal RNA", at positions 1835 to 2594 of the family's 2925-position model. Lineage: Eukaryota; Metazoa; Cnidaria; Hydrozoa; Anthoathecata; Hydridae. The record is from RNAcentral.